GUAGGCGUAGCGCAGCUGGAUAGCGCGUCAGACUCCGACUCUGAAGGCCGUGGGUUCGAAUCCCAUCGUCUACA
RNAcentral lists this transfer RNA (74 nucleotides) under Lachnospiraceae bacterium. Its description in RNAcentral is "tRNA-Arg". It matches the Rfam family "tRNA". Rfam says of the family: Transfer RNA (tRNA) molecules are approximately 80 nucleotides in length. Their secondary structure includes four short double-helical elements and three loops (D, anti-codon, and T loops). The record is from RNAcentral. RNAcentral also lists the same sequence under 3 other names. Lineage: Bacteria; Bacillati; Bacillota; Clostridia; Lachnospirales; Lachnospiraceae.